Molecule: ribosomal RNA, 460 nt
Filed under: uncultured bacterium
Lineage: Bacteria
Description: partial 16S ribosomal RNA
Rfam family: Bacterial small subunit ribosomal RNA
Source: RNAcentral
CCUACGGGAGGCAGCAGUGAGGAAUAUUGGUCAAUGGACGAGAGUCUGAACCAGCCAAGUAGCGUGAAGGAUGACUGCCCUAUGGGUUGUAAACUUCUUUUAUAUGGGAAUAAAAUGUUCCACGUGUGGGAUUUUGUAUGUACCAUAUGAAUAAGGAUCGGCUAACUCCGUGCCAGCAGCCGCGGUAAUACGGAGGAUCCGAGCGUUAUCCGGAUUUAUUGGGUUUAACGGGAGCGUAGGUGGAUUGUUAAGUCAGUUGUGAAAGUUUGCGGCUCAACCGUAAAAUUGCAGUUGAAACUGGCAGUCUUGAGUACAGUAGAGGUGGGCGGAAUUCGUGGUGGAGCGGUGAAAUGCUUAGAUAUCACGAAGAACUCCGAUUGCGAAGGCAGUUCACUGGACUGCAACUGACACUGAGGCUCGAAAGUGUGGGUAUCAAACAGGAUUAGAUACCCCUGUAGUC